RNAcentral lists this ribosomal RNA (451 nucleotides) under uncultured bacterium. RNAcentral describes it as "partial 16S ribosomal RNA". It matches the Rfam family "Bacterial small subunit ribosomal RNA", at positions 29 to 523 of the family's 1533-position model. The record is from RNAcentral.
AACGAACGCUGGCGGCAGGCCUAACACAUGCAAGUCGAACGGGUGCAGCAAUGCAUCAGUGGCAGACGGGUGAGUAGCACGUGGGAACCUUCCUAGGGGUACGGAACAACUCAGGGAAACUUGAGCUAAUACCGUAUACGUCCGUGAGGAGAAAGAUUUAUCGCCCUUAGACGGGCCCGCGUCGGAUUAGCUAGUUGGUGGGGUAACGGCCUACCAAGGCGACGAUCCGUAGCUGAUCUUAGAGGAUGAUCAGCCACACUGGGACUGAGACACGGCCCAGACUCCUACGGGAGGCAGCAGUGGGGAAUCUUGGACAAUGGGCGCAAGCCUGAUCCAGCCAUGCCGCGUGAGUGAAGAAGGUCUUCGGAUUGUAAAGCUCUUUUGCCAGGGACGAUAAUGACGGUACCUGGAGAAUAAGCCCCGGCAAACUUCGUGCCAGCCGCCGCCGUAA